CUGCAACUUAACGCCCGGUUAAGACUCGGUUUCCCUCCGGCUCCCCUAUACGGUUAACCUUGCUACAGAAUAUAAGUCGCUGACCCAUUAUACAAAAGGUACGCAGUCACACAGGUAAACCUGUGCUCCCACUGCUUGUACGUACACGGUUUCAGGUUCUUUUUCACUCCCCUCGCCGGGGUUCUUUUCGCCUUUCCCUCACGGUACUGGUUCACUAUCGGUCAGUCAGGAGUAUUUAGCCUUGGAGGAUGGUCCCCCCAUAUUCAGACAGGAUACCACGUGUCCCGCCCUACUCAUCGAGCUCACAGCACAUGCGCUUUUGUGUACGGGGCUGUCACCCUGUAUCGCGCGCCUUUCCAGACGCUUCCACUAACACACAUGCUGAUUCAGGCUCUGGGCUCCUCCCCGUUCGCUCGCCGCUACUGGGGGAAUCUCGGUUGAUUUCUUUUCCUCGGGGUACUUAGAUGUUUCAGUUCCCCCGGUUCGCCUCAUUAACCUAUGGAUUCAGUUAAUGAUAGUGUGACGAAUCACACUGGGUUUCCCCAUUCGGAAAUCGCCGGUUAUAACGGUUCAUAUCACCUUACCGGCGCUUAUCGCAGAUUAGCACGUCCUUCAUCGCCUCUGACUGCCAGGGCAUCCACCGUGUACGCUUAGUCGCUUAACCUCACAACCCGAAGAUGUUUCUUACGAUUCAUCAUCGUGUUGCGAAAAUUUGAGAAACUCACGAACAACUUUCGUUGUUCUGUGUUUCAAUUUUCAGCUUGAUCCAGAUUUUUAAAGAGCAAA
Molecule: ribosomal RNA, 786 nt
Filed under: Salmonella enterica subsp. enterica serovar Paratyphi A
Lineage: Bacteria; Pseudomonadati; Pseudomonadota; Gammaproteobacteria; Enterobacterales; Enterobacteriaceae
Description: 23S ribosomal RNA
Source: RNAcentral